RNAcentral lists this transfer RNA (77 nucleotides) under Bacteroidetes bacterium GWA2_42_15. RNAcentral describes it as "tRNA-Pro". It matches the Rfam family "tRNA". From Rfam's summary of the family: Transfer RNA (tRNA) molecules are approximately 80 nucleotides in length. Their secondary structure includes four short double-helical elements and three loops (D, anti-codon, and T loops). Further hydrogen bonds mediate the characteristic L-shaped molecular structure. tRNAs have two regions of fundamental functional importance: the anti-codon, which is responsible for specific mRNA codon recognition, and the 3' end, to which the tRNAs corresponding amino acid is attached (by aminoacyl-tRNA synthetases). tRNAs cope with the degeneracy of the genetic code in two manners: having more than one tRNA (with a specific anti-codon) for a particular amino acid; and 'wobble' base-pairing, i.e. permitting non-standard base-pairing at the 3rd anti-codon position. RNAcentral also lists the same sequence under 5 other names. Lineage: Bacteria; Pseudomonadati; Bacteroidota. The record is from RNAcentral.
CGGGAUGUAGCGCAGUCCGGUAGCGUACGUCGUUCGGGACGACGGGGUCGCAGGUUCAAAUCCUGUCAUCCCGACCA